GUUUACAAGGGUUCUCUGCUCAUCAUGGUCAUUAAGGAGCUCAAACAGGCAGCAGCUGUGUCUUGGUGGCUUCAACAAUAUAUAAGAUUGAAUUGUGAUCAGAAGAGCAAAUGGAAUUACAUUUUGCAGAAUCCUCUGUUGAUUCAUAUAUAAAUUUCAGAAAAUGUUGAGACUGUCAGGAGAUUAGCAUUUCUUUCUCGAGAUGUUGUUUGUUUGUUAUCCUUCACACUGAGCGAGAUUAAUGGGCAUCAAGAGAUGGGGGCACAUAAGGACGCAUAUAUUAACCCAGCAGUUCUUUCCUUAGUGCAAGUGCCAUAAAUAUUCACAAUGUUGUUUGUGUUAUUCUUCUUUUCAGUUCUAAUUUUUAUUCUCCUGCUAUGUCUUUUUUUUAACCUCAGAAGUGGUAUUAUAUAAUUAUCAUUCUUAGUGUUGUGUGUGCCACAUUUAAGUGGUUCAUUUUUUCUAACAACUAAAGAUUGACCAUCACUUAGCUUGCAUGGAUCUUUUCCAAAUAUUCCUCAGUUGCCAUAAUUUGGUAAAAUGAGACACCUUCUUAGAAAGCUUUUUUUUUAAAAGCAAAUUAACUAUGUCAGGUUUAUUUCAUUUUGUUUUGCUCUAUGAAUUAGUGUUCUAUUUUCUGGUAUAAAAUAAUUACAAAAUGAGCUUAAAUGAGCAGACCCAUGGAAAAUCUAUCUGUAUAACUCAGUCCAAUAUUUAGUCUAUGAAACAUUAUUUUGGUUAAUUUCAUGAUAUUCCUGUGUUAUUAUUUUAGUCCUGGACGUGGCACCAAAUAUUUAGGAAACUUUUUUAGCCAAAGUUCAAUUAGAGAAGCAGAAUCAGUAGUAAAUAUAUAUGAAGGGGUUAGCUUUCAUGAUUGUAAGGGCGGCCUAGGCGAGUCCACAAUCUUUAGGGUUGGCCAUCAGGAAGGGAAGAGUGGACCUCUCAGGCUGAGUUAAAGAUGCAGUACACAGAUAGAAUUUCUUCCAGGAAACUUCUGUUCUGUUCUAAGGGCUUUCAACUGAUUAAAUCAGGCCUACCCAGAUUAUCUAGGAUAAUCUCCUUUGCUUAAAGUCAACCACUUAUAAGUGUUAACCACACCUACAAAUGUCUUCACAGCAAUAUCUAGAUUAGUUUGACUGAAUAACUGGGUAUCUUAGCCUAGCCAAAUUAACACAUAAAACUGACCAUUAAAGUCCAACACAUAUCAACUUGACACCCCUACACAUCUCCUUGAAGUAUGUUUACCCUCCAGAUAAAAACAGUAACAAAGUCCUAUUUUCCAGCUACCAUGAUACAGCUAUCCUGUGCACUACCGAAAAUGCAAUAACCAUUUCCCUGGAGGAAGAUGCACAGUCAAUAGUCUUGCAUUGGAAAGUGCCUCACAACCAGAGGGUCUGCAGCAAGAACAAUGUAGAUACCUAAGAGAAGGCAAAGACCUGGUGACUGAGAAACAGAAUCAGACAUAGUUUCCCACGUCCAAGACUCGGGCGCUCAGAAGCGUGAUGCACCGUUUCUGGCUUGGAGGUGAAGGAGACCUUGUGGCAAGCGAUGCCGGCAGAGUGUAGGGCCUGAGAGCAGCCCCAGAUGACGGUCAGUCAGAAAGGAAACAGUGACCUCAGUCUUACAACGGCAAGAAACUGAGUUUUUCUUGGACGGUACAUACUUUGGAAUUUAACUUGGAAGCAGACUUCUCCCAGAGC
Long non-coding RNA from Globicephala melas (long-finned pilot whale), 1700 nucleotides. RefSeq lists it as uncharacterized. NCBI's taxonomy places the organism in Eukaryota, Metazoa, Chordata, Mammalia, Artiodactyla, Delphinidae. The record is from RefSeq and is a predicted model, not a curated record.